UACGGAGGGGGCAAGCGUUGUUCGGAAUUACUGGGCGUAAAGAGCUUGUAGGCGGUUUGUCGCGUCUGCUGUGAAAAUCCGGGGCUCAACCCCGGACUUGCAGUGGGUACGGGCAGACUAGAGUGUGGUAGGGGAGACUGGAAUUCCUGGUGUAGCGGUGAAAUGCGCAGAUAUCAGGAGGAACACCGAUGGCGAAGGCAGGUCUCUGGGCCACUACUGACGCUGAGAAGCGAAAGCAUGGGGAGCGAACAGG
Molecule: ribosomal RNA, 253 nt
Filed under: uncultured bacterium
Lineage: Bacteria
Description: partial 16S ribosomal RNA
Rfam family: Bacterial small subunit ribosomal RNA
Source: RNAcentral